AACGUGAUGAUCGUGGUCCACAGCGCGAUCCAGCGCGCAUUGCCGCGCGCCGCCUCGUCAUCACCGCGGCUGAGAUAAAUCAGGAUCGCGCCGACGACCGGCAGGAACGUGACGACGGAAAGGAUGGGCCAGGUUGUCAUCAUUGGCCCCCGAGACCGAAGAUAAACCACGUGAUGAGACCGGCCACGCCGAUCAGCAUCGCGAAUGCAUAGUGAUAGAGAUAGCCGGUCUGGAGCCGCACGACGUUGCGCGUGACAUCGAGCACGCGCGCCGAGACGCCGUCAGGACCGAACCCG
Molecule: unclassified non-coding RNA, 296 nt
Filed under: Hevea brasiliensis (rubber tree)
Lineage: Eukaryota; Viridiplantae; Streptophyta; Magnoliopsida; Malpighiales; Euphorbiaceae
Source: RNAcentral